Betta splendens (Siamese fighting fish) is the source of this 2337-nucleotide long non-coding RNA. RefSeq lists it as uncharacterized. The transcript is spliced from 2 exons. Lineage: Eukaryota; Metazoa; Chordata; Actinopteri; Anabantiformes; Osphronemidae. The record is from RefSeq and is a predicted model, not a curated record.
AAAUCUUUCUCUUUGGCUGCCUUUCCCUGCCUCUGUGUGUUACUCUUUCUCUCUAUCGCUCUGCAUACUGGCCUCUCACUGUCAUAAACAACCACACCUGUUUCCAUGGUAGCAGCAGGCAGGCUAUAUACUGUGUGCAGUGUCUCUGGUGAGUGAGCGGGAGAAGGCGGGUGGGAUGUAGGGGAGCGAGGGAGGGAGGAUUAUUCGUGCUUCCAUCAGCAUCAACACGGCAGAGGGAGAGAGGAGAGGGGAGAGAUGCGGUGUCUUCCUGCGCGGCACAGAAGGAGGAGGAAGAGGAGGAGGAGGAGGAGGAGGAGGAGGCGGGUCCUCCCAUCGCUCUGUAUGCAAAUCAACAGGAUCCUAGAGCACACGUGUCACGUGACCACGCCAGGGGAGGCAGGGCCCUGCACAGCACUGAGCUGGAGUGAGAGGGGCUGUGUCAGCUCAGCAAUGAUGUCAUGAUUUAUUUUGAGGAAGUGAUGUCAGGCCUCUGCAGUGAGACUGGUGGUGUCUACAGUGGUUCGGUAGCUGGAUGGCGCUAAUUUCUGGAAUCCCAGUCGAUUCAGUUACAGCACAACAAGUGCUGCCUAAAGGAACAUUAUUACCCUCAGAACAGGACAUAUGUUUAUAUUUGCAUUUGUAAAGAUAAAACAUAGACAAGUGAUUCUAGAGAAUGUUCAUAUUGUUUUCCAACUUUCAGUUACGUAACACAUCACCUACAUUAAAUCCAUUCAUUUUUAAGUGAUUAAUUGUCUUCAAGAAGAUUUUACAUGCAAUAAACUGGGCAUAAUUUGAAACAAAUAUUGCUGCUCAGUUUAUUUUAUGCCCUCAGAAACUUUGUGUUCUGAUAAUGAGAAUGAAAGGACUGAACCACAGUCUGCUGUGUUUAAAUAAGAACUACAAAAAUUAAACAUGCCUUCUCUGUCCUGUGUUGGUGUGAGUGGCUGCAGCCCCUCCCAGUAGCAGCAAUAGCUGAAGUGUUAUUCAGUAGCAUCAACUGGUGUUUGUGUUCGUGAGCGGAUCCACAGAGCGUCUGCACGUCUGUGUGUGAGCUCGAGAGAGCGCUGCCACUGUGUUGACUAUUGACUCAGCUAAGGAUCACAGUGACAACAACAGAGGCAAGAGCUCAGCUCAGCUCAGAGCAUUUUACACAUGCAGUGGUUCAUUUCAUGUAAGUAGAAAAUAUGUUGCUUAGCUGCCUUUCAGCUGUUUUAUUCCUUUUACACAGCAACAGGAAUAAACUACGUAUUAAUAACAUGACAGCUGCGUGUUAUGAAUGCGGGGCUCUUACUUUCAUCUCAAUGAUGGUCUGCAGGGCCUUGGUCUUGCUCGGAUCCUGAUGCAGCUGAUUCCGUCUGUGCAGCUCCUUGAGAAACAUAAACAGAGUGAUGUUUAACAGAAGGUGGAUGUUCUCCUUUUCCUUUUGAUCCAGAAUGACCUCCAGGUGUCCGAGCUGGGCCUCAGCCUCGGCAAUGCGCCUGGCUCGCUCCUGCUCCUCCUCCUCAGACGCCCUGCCGGGCCCCGAGGGCAGCCCCUUGCUCUGCAGCAUCUCCAGCAGCUUCUUAAUGGACUCGUCCCUGGCGCCCAGGGUCUGUUUCUGGGUCUCGAUCCUCAGCUCCAUCUCUUCCAGUGUCUUCCUGAGCAGGAACAGCUCCUUGGCCUGCCUGUCAUGUUCCGCCUGCAGCCGGCGAAAGUUCUCCUCCGUCAGCUCGAUGGUGGUGAAGUGCUCGGCGCCGGACCGGUUCCCACUCUCCUGCUGCAGCAGGUGGUUCAGGUCUCGUUGUGUGCGCAGCUCGUCCUGCAGGGCCUGGAUAGUCAUCUGCAGAUGCUGGUGGAAGCACACACAUGUGUACACAGAGACACUUAACAAUUACUAAAAAUCAUUCUUUGAGUUUUACACAAUAUGACUACACACAGGUAACCACGCAUUAACAAACACUGCUGAAAUGCUGUUGCACACGGUUCUGUGGAAAAAUACUACAGCAUGUCAAACAAGCAGAACACUUGACUUACCUGACAUCUUUAUGUAUACACUGUAAAACAGUGAUACUUGCACAGCUUUUUUAUCUGUGAGAAUAUUUUCAGUAAUAGUGAAAUUCUUGGUUAUUAAUUUAAGUCCUCUAGGAACUGAAUUUAUUUAUGACUGUUGUCCUGUUUGAGCAGGGUUUCGUUGACCUGCUACCCAAAGCAGAAGAUUGUCCUGUUCCUUUCCUGCAACCGACAGUUAAAGCUGUCAAGCGAAUAAUAAUAAUUGCUAAUGUAUUUUUAUAAAGGUGUGAAUUUGUCUGUGUGUCCAGAAAAAAAGGAAAGCACACACUAUUAAACCCUUACGUUUGA